RNAcentral lists this non-coding RNA (110 nucleotides) under Planctomycetota bacterium. Its description in RNAcentral is "Planctomycetes bacterium c-di-GMP sequence". It matches the Rfam family "c-di-GMP-I-GGC riboswitch aptamer". The record is from RNAcentral. Lineage: Bacteria; Pseudomonadati; Planctomycetota.
UACGAUAAGGGCAAACCCAGAGUGAUCAGGGGACGCAAAGUAAAGGGUCUUACAUAGUUUUAAAUUCAGAGUUUUGAGACAUGAUUCAUAAGACAGCCUUAUUGCCGAAG